UACGGAGGGUGCGAGCGUUAAUCCGAAUUACUGGGCGUAAAGGGUGCGUAGGCGGUCUUUUAAGUUGGAUGUGAAAUACCCGGGCUCAACUUGGGGGGUGCAUCCAAAACUGGGGGACUUGAGUGUCGGAGAGGAAAGUGGAAUUCCUAGUGUAGCGGUGAAAUGCGUAGAUAUUAGGAGGAACACCAGUGGCGAAGGCGGCUUUCUGGACGACAACUGACGCUGAUGCACGAAAGCGUGGGGAGCAAACAGGAUUAGAUACCCUGGUAGUCCCUGAGCGGG
RNAcentral lists this ribosomal RNA (282 nucleotides) under uncultured prokaryote. Its description in RNAcentral is "partial 16S ribosomal RNA". It matches the Rfam family "Bacterial small subunit ribosomal RNA", at positions 524 to 803 of the family's 1533-position model. The record is from RNAcentral.